This 200-nucleotide ribosomal RNA is filed under the name uncultured bacterium. RNAcentral describes it as "partial 16S ribosomal RNA". It matches the Rfam family "Bacterial small subunit ribosomal RNA", at positions 29 to 242 of the family's 1533-position model. The record is from RNAcentral.
AGUGAACGCUGGCGGUAGGCCUAACACAUGCAAGUCGAGCGGGGUUUUCGGACCUAGCGGCGGACGGGUGAGUAAUGCGUAGGAAACUGCCCGAUAGAGGGGGAUACCAGUUGGAAACGACUGUUAAUACCGCAUAAUGUCUACGGACCAAAGUGUGGGACCUUCGGGCCACAUGCUAUCGGAUGCGCCUACGUGGGAUU